GACUCCCUCGUUCAUUUAAUGUCACGUCAGUUCUUGAGAAUCCCAGGCCUCUGACCCCUGCCUAACCCUAACCCUAACCCUAACCCUAUAUAGCAGCCGUCUUCCUGAAGGUAGGGAGAGAUCAAAGUUUCCCCAUCCUGUGCUCAGCCUGCUGCUGUGUGUUCCUCUCUGCAGGCUGCCUGGGGUCUUUUCUCAGAGCUAGUGGGUAGCAGUAGGGGACCUACAGCCCCACGAUGGCUGCCAGAUUUGGCAAAUACAAAUACAGGAUACUUGGCUAAACUUGAAUUUCAGAUAAGCAAAUAAUUUUGGAAGUAUAAGGAUGUCCUAUGCAAUAUUUGGGACAUACUGUACUAUAAAGUGACCCACUGUUUAAUGUGAAAUUUAAGUUUAACUGGCUAAUCCUGCACUGUGUCUGGCAACGCACCCUCUGGCUACUUCGUCCCUCUUUUCUUCAGUCCCAGGGGCCAGAGGCCGGUGACCACCGUUUUGAUUUAGCCUGUCUUUUGAACUGCAAUAUCAAGAAGGGGACACUGUGGCUUGAAGAUAUAGGAAUAUACUUUAUUUUUGAAGUAACAACAAAACAGGAACCUUCUGAAGCCAUUGAGCCUCAUUGGAUGCCCCCCACCCCCAUGUUCAUUUAGUUAUAUAUUAUAAAAGAAGAUGCUAUCUAUAAACACACGAGCAGAAUCUUGUUUAAUCAAGAUGCAUGUCUACAAUUCUGUAAAUAGCCGCAUGGCCAUGCUGAGAGCCCCCUUGAUCUCCCAACCCCACACCCGUUUUACAGAACUGGCUGCUCCUUGAUUCUGUGUUGUGUAAAGUCUUUGUCCUCACCUCCCCUGCAGGGAAUGACCACAGUGGGAGAUAAUGUUCUGGCCCUGGUGCCAGCCCUGCCCAGGGAAGAUGCUGAAGGAUACUAGCCCUGAAGGCAGGUCUGCCUCGUGUCUGCAGGGCUAACCCUUGGGGCACGGUGCACUGUCUAGCCUGGCGUCUGGUGUCCCGUUGCUUCUGUGUUCCGUGUGUGUGACGUGAUUCUUCCUUCCCACUGUCUUGAAUAAACUGAAAAGCCAUAAAGGGCCUCCUACUGGAGGGUGCCCUAAACUCCUUCCAGGAGCCCCCCUGUCCCUCUAACUGGCUCCCCACAGAACACUUGUGAAGGGCUCACCUGUCCGUCACCCUCUCUUGCUCCCUUAGCCCUGUGUCAUGAGGACAGUUGGUGUUUCAGGGCUUCUGGUGGGGUCUCAGGAGAUGCCCCUGGCUGGCUUUUGUGGCCUCAGUCUGAUGGUUGAACUCUACUGAGUAUAGGCAGGGCAGUGGUUUUGACUCUGUGGCUUGGAUAUCCUCUGAGAGGCCUGGAGGCAACCAGGGUUUUCAGAAGCAGUCAGCAGCCCAGCCUAUAGUCAGGUUCUCAGUGGCAGCCUGGGAUGAACAAGGCCAGCCCUGCCUACUUUUCCCUGAGCUGUCAGGACCACAGAAAGCAGUGGAGGAGUGGCCCAUGGGGAAAACCUGAAACUGCAGUGGUUAAACUUCCUACCCUCUCUCUCUUUUGUCUAGCAGUGCCACAGAGCAGGGUGCUCGAGAGCAUGGUGGUAGUGUGGUGGCGAUAAGGGGUCACUCACAAUGGAGGAGCACAUCCGCUCCCAGGGCAGCCUGAGCAGGCAUGGCAUGUAGUGAUUGUUUGGGUAGACAGGGCUGGAGCAGCUUGGGCACCCAGAGGACUCCCCAGAAGCCAGUCAUGUAGUACUAAUCCAGGGGACCUCAGGCAGAAUUGGGCAAGUGUAUUGGCCAUGGCCAGGGGCAACAACGUGGGGUUGGCUGGAGACUUCCAGCCUCCACAGAAACUGAAAUUGGGAACCGUGGCAGCGGAGUCAUGCAAGGUGGCAGGAGCUGUGUGUGGAUCUCAGUUUCACCCCCAGCUUUACUCGGCAGCUGGGAGUUCAGGGAAGCGAUCUCGAAGUCCGAUCAUCCUGCCCUAAGUCCAGCUCAUCUAAGGAUUUGAUUUGCUUUCUGAAAACCAUAGGCCCAGAAACUUCCAAAGCUGGGGCAGAAGCUGGGUGAGCCCUGCUCCCCCUGGAAUACACUGGCCCACCAGGAGCCCUCCCUGUCUCCCUAAGGAGGACACGUGUAGCCCUCCCCUUCCCUCCCCACUCUGCUUGGCAAUGCUUCCUCCAUUCCCUUAUGUGGGCUCCACUGUUGUCUGAUCUCUUGUCAAAUUGUUAUUUUGUAACGAGCUGCGUCUCCUUAUUAAAGAAAAGAGCUGAAAGCAA
Molecule: long non-coding RNA, 2264 nt
Filed under: Rattus norvegicus (Norway rat)
Lineage: Eukaryota; Metazoa; Chordata; Mammalia; Rodentia; Muridae
Description: long non-coding RNA NONRATT008235
Source: RNAcentral